RNAcentral lists this long non-coding RNA (369 nucleotides) under Homo sapiens (human). RNAcentral describes it as "non-protein coding lnc-NMUR1-2:1". The record is from RNAcentral. Lineage: Eukaryota; Metazoa; Chordata; Mammalia; Primates; Hominidae.
UGUCCGCUUCACACUCCGCCGCCAUCAUGGUGAAGCUCGCGAAGGCAGGUAAAAAUCAAGGUGACCCCAAGAAAAUGGCUCCUCCUCCAAAGGAGGUAGAAGAAGAUAGUGAAGAUGAGGAAAUGUCAGAAGAUGAAGAAGAUGAUAGCAGUGGAGAAGAGGUAAUUUUAUCCAACUUAAUGCAGAAUUAUGUUAAAACUACAAAAUGGAGAGUUAAGACAUGAAAUUGGAUAUCUGUGGCAAAAAUAAGAUUUUAUUCAGGUAUGUCUUAUUGUAGUGGUUGAGUGUUUCACAAGCUCUUCAUUGACAUGUCAAGAUGUCAUUUGGCUAAGUAUUUGAAUGUGAGUGUAAGACGAGAUCUGGGAAUUU